GGAACACGUGUUUGUUCUCGGCCACCAAGAGCAAGUAUUUUCAAGGUCUCCACCGAUGAUUCAUCAGGAUGAGACCCAGCCGGGACACUAGGGAGGAGCGGCUUAAGCAAGGGAGGCUACAUAUACGACAGCUUCUUGCGGACAAGAAACGAAAAUAGAUAGAUGUUUCCACGGCCCACAAGCCAGCAGGCGCCAGUUCGUUCU
Long non-coding RNA from Ixodes scapularis (black-legged tick), 204 nucleotides. RefSeq lists it as uncharacterized. Lineage: Eukaryota; Metazoa; Arthropoda; Arachnida; Ixodida; Ixodidae. The record is from RefSeq and is a predicted model, not a curated record. The transcript is spliced from 3 exons.